Molecule: long non-coding RNA, 285 nt
Organism: Poecile atricapillus (Black-capped chickadee)
Lineage: Eukaryota; Metazoa; Chordata; Aves; Passeriformes; Paridae
Exons: 4
Source: RefSeq, a predicted model, not a curated record
AGUAAACUGGGAGGAAACUGGGAUUAAACUGGGAGGGAAAAUGGGGAGUAAGGGCUGAGUAACAGGUGAGUAAAGGGGGAGUAAGGGGUGAGUAAAGGCUGAGUAAAAUGUGAGUAAGGGGUGAGUAAGGGGUGAGGUAAACUGGGAGUAACUGGGAGUAAACUGGGAUUAAACUGGGAGGGAAAACGGGGGAGUAAAGGCUGAGUAAAAGGUGAGUAAAGGGUGAGUAAGGGGUGAGUAAACUGGGAGUAAACUGGGAGUAAGGGCUGAGUAACCCGGGGUGGG